Molecule: ribosomal RNA, 144 nt
Filed under: uncultured eukaryote
Lineage: Eukaryota
Description: partial 18S ribosomal RNA
Rfam family: Eukaryotic small subunit ribosomal RNA
Source: RNAcentral
UGGUGGAGUGAUUUGUCUGGUUAAUUCCGAUAACGAGCGAGACCCCAGCAUACUAAUUAGCUAUAGAAAUCUUCGGAUUUCUGAUUCAAUAGCUUCUUAGAGGGACUAUCGGUGUGUAGCCGAUGGAAGUUUGAGGCAAUAACA